RNAcentral lists this unclassified non-coding RNA (1887 nucleotides) under uncultured Bordetella sp. RNAcentral's name for it is "partial 16S-23S ribosomal RNA intergenic spacer". The stretch from base 747 to 1887 matches the Rfam family "Bacterial small subunit ribosomal RNA". Lineage: Bacteria; Pseudomonadati; Pseudomonadota; Betaproteobacteria; Burkholderiales; Alcaligenaceae. The record is from RNAcentral.
UACCUUUGCCGCCCACUCACCCCGUCAUGCCGCACCGUCGCCUCCCCAGGUUAGGCUACCCCCCCGGUGGGUCUCAGGUACAAGACCCGGGAAAUAUUCACCGCGACAUGCCGAUCCGCGAUUACAAGAUUCCGACUUCACGCAGUCGAGCUGCAGACUGCAUCCGGGACUACGAUCGGCGGGAUUACUCGGCGACCCCGUAGCGACUGACGUGCGAAGCCCUGCCAUGAGGACUGACGUCAUCCUCACUUCCUCCGGGCUUAUAAUGGCAGCUUAUUAGAGUAACUAAUGACAGGGUUGCACUGCCGGGAGACUUAACUCAACAUUUUCAUUUCGACACGGCUGACGAUAGCCAUAGUUUCACUCUGUGUUUACGUGUUUUCUGAUAUAAUUCCCAAAUUCCCUUUCGGGAUUCCAGACAUAUGGUGUCUUUGCCCGCGCCGCACACUAAUCCACAUCAUCCACUGCUUGUGUGUAAUCCCUGUCAUUUGAGUUUUAAUCUAGCAUCGUGGGCUUGCGCGGUCAACUUCAUGCGCUAUGCGCUAUUAUAAGGCCUGAUGGGCAGCCUGGGUCAUUAAAGUUGACACAUUUAGGCGUGGACUCACCAGGGUAUAGCCUCUCUCUGUGCACAGCCACCCAGAGGCUGCCUCGCCAUCGGGGUGCGGGCCCUCCGCAUACCUACGCAUUUUCACUAUUACGCGGCCCACCCCUCCGACACAUCAUAGUUAAAAAUGCAGUUCCAAAGUUACCUGAUGCUUACGCCCAGUAAUCUGAUUAACGUUUGCACUCAACGAAUAAACACAUAUCGUAUUACCGGUGCUUAUCCCGUAGGUACUGUCAGUUGCACGGGAUAAUACCUGGUGCAACUGACGGUACCUGCAGAAUAAGCACCGGCUAACUACGCCAGCAGCCGCGGUAAUGUUGUAGGUGCAAACGUUAAUCGGAAUUACUGGGCGUAAAGCGUGCGCAGGCGGUUCGGAAAGAAAGAUGAAAUCCCAGAGCUUAACUUUGGAACUGCAUUUUUAACUACCGAGCUAGAGUGUGUCAGAGGGAGGUGGAAUUCGCGUGUAGCAGUGAAAUGCGUAGACAUGCGGAGGAACACCGAUGGCGAAGGCAGCCUCCUGGGAUAACACUGAUUGCUCAUGCACGAAAGCGUGGGGAGCAAACAGGAUUAGAUACCCUGGUAGUCCACGCCCUAAACGAUGUCAACUAGCUACUGGGGCCUUCUGGCCUGGUAGCGCAGCUAACGCGUGAAGUUGACCGCCUGGGAGUACGGUCGCAAGAUUAAAACUCAAAGGAAUUGACGGGGACCCGCACAAGUUGCGGAUGAUGUGGAUUAAUCUGAUGCAACGCGAAAACCUUACCUACCCUUUGACAUGUCUGAAUCCCGAAGAGAUUUGGGAGUGCUCGCAAGAGAACCGGAACACAGGUGCUGCAUGGCUGUCGUCAGCUCGUGUCGUGAGAUGUUGGGUUAAGUCCCCGCAACGAGUGCAACCCUUGUCAUUAGUUGCUACGAAAGGGCACUCUAAUGAGACUGCCGGUGACAAACCGGAGGAAGGUGGGGAUGACGUCAAGUCCUCAUGGCCCUUGGCGGCAGGGCUUCACACGUCAUACAAUGGUCGGGACAGAGGGUCGCCAACCCGCGAGGGGGAGCCAAUCCCAGAAACCCGAUCGUAGUCCGGAUCGCAGUCUGCAACUCGACUGCGUGAAGUCGGAAUCGCUAGUAAUCGCGGAUCAGCAUGUCGCGGUGAAUACGUUCCCGGGUCUUUGUACACACCGCCCGUCACACCAUGGGAGUGGGUUUUACCAGAAGUAGUUAGCUCAACCGUAAGGAGUGGCGAUUACCACGGUAGGAUUCAUGACUGGGGUGAAGUCGUAACAAGGUAG